This 253-nucleotide ribosomal RNA is filed under the name uncultured bacterium. RNAcentral describes it as "partial 16S ribosomal RNA". It matches the Rfam family "Bacterial small subunit ribosomal RNA", at positions 524 to 776 of the family's 1533-position model. The record is from RNAcentral.
UACGGGGGGAGCAAGCGUUGUUCGGAUUCAUUGGGCGUAAAGGGUGUGUAGGUGGCGCGCUAAGUCGGGUGUGAAAUUUCGGAGCUUAACUCCGAAACUGCAUUCGAUACUGGCGUGCUUGAGGACUGGAGAGGAGACUGGAAUUCAUGGUGUAGCAGUGAAAUGCGUAGAGAUCAUGAGGAAGACCAGUGGCGAAGGCGGGUCUCUGGACAGUUCCUGACACUGAGACACGAAGGCCAGGGGAGCGAACGGG